Molecule: ribosomal RNA, 253 nt
Filed under: uncultured bacterium
Lineage: Bacteria
Description: partial 16S ribosomal RNA
Rfam family: Bacterial small subunit ribosomal RNA
Source: RNAcentral
UACGGAGGGGGCAAGCGUUGUUCGGAAUUACUGGGCGUAAAGGGCUCGUAGGCGGCCAACUAAGUCAGACGUGAAAUCCCUCGGCUUAACCGGGGAACUGCGUCUGAUACUGGAUGGCUUGAGGUUGGGAGAGGGAUGCGGAAUUCCAGGUGUAGCGGUGAAAUGCGUAGAUAUCUGGAGGAACACCGGUGGCGAAGGCGGCAUCCUGGACCAAUUCUGACGCUGAGGAGCGAAAGCCAGGGGAGCAAACGGG